Molecule: long non-coding RNA, 805 nt
Filed under: Cicer arietinum (chickpea)
Lineage: Eukaryota; Viridiplantae; Streptophyta; Magnoliopsida; Fabales; Fabaceae
Description: long non-coding RNA (CARI_LNC001239)
Source: RNAcentral
GUGGAGGAGAAUGGACUGGUGGGGGUGGAGAGUACACUGGUGGUGGUGGAGGUGGAGAUUGUACUGGUGGUGGUGGUGAGUAGACUGGUGGUGGAGGAGAAUGGACUGGUGGGGGUGGAGAGUACACUGGUGGUGGUGGAGGUGAAUGGACUGGUGGUGGUGGAGAUGAAUGGACUGGUGGGGGUGGAGAGUACACUGGUGGUGGUGGAGGUGAAUGGACUGGUGGUGGUGGAGAUGAAUGGACUGGUGGGGGUGGAGAGUACACUGGUGGUGGUGGAGGUGAAUGGACUGGUGGUGGUGGAGAUGAAUGGACUGGUGGGGGUGGAGAGUAAACUGGUGGUGGUGGAGGUGAAUGUACCGGUGGGGGUGGAGAGUAAACUGGUGGUGGUGGAGGUGAAUGUACCGGUGGGGGUGGAGAGUAUACUGGUGGUGGAGGUGAAUGGACAGGUGGGGGUGGAGAGUUAAUUGGCGACGGUGGUGGAGGAGAAUGAACUGAUGGUGGUGGAGGUGGAGAAUGGACCGGUGGUGGUGGAGAGUGAACUUGAACUGGUGGUGGUGGAGAGUGGACCGGUGGUGGUGGAGAGUGAACUAGAACUGGUGGUGGUGGAGAGUGAACUUGAACUGGUGGUGGUGGAGAGUGGACUGGUGGUGGUGGAGAGUGAACUUGAACUGGUGGAGGUGGAGAGUGAACUGGUGGUGGAGGAGAUUGAACUAGGUGUGGUGGCGGUGGAGAGUGGACCGGUGGAGGUGGAGAGUAAACAGGUGGUGGAGGAGAAUGAACUGGUGGAGGUGGGGAGUUAACAGG